Molecule: ribosomal RNA, 302 nt
Filed under: Bacteroides fragilis str. 3988 T1
Lineage: Bacteria; Pseudomonadati; Bacteroidota; Bacteroidia; Bacteroidales; Bacteroidaceae
Description: bacterial SSU rRNA
Rfam family: Bacterial small subunit ribosomal RNA
Source: RNAcentral
UGGCCCUUACGUCCGGGGCUACACACGUGUUACAAUGGGGGGUACAGAAGGCAGCUAGCGGGUGACCGUAUGCUAAUCCCAAAAGCCUCUCUCAGUUCGGAUCGAAGUCUGCAACCCGACUUCGUGAAGCUGGAUUCGCUAGUAAUCGCGCAUCAGCCACGGCGCGGUGAAUACGUUCCCGGGCCUUGUACACACCGCCCGUCAAGCCAUGGGAGCCGGGGGUACCUGAAGUACGUAACCGCAAGGAUCGUCCUAGGGUAAAACUGGUGACUGGGGCUAAGUCGUAACAAGGUAGCCGUACC